GAUGAGGAGCUUGCUUCUUUGAUCAGUGGCGAACGGGUGAGUAACACGUGAGCAAUCUGCCCUUGACUCUGGGAUAACUGCGGGAAACUGUAGCUAAUACCGGAUACGACCUUGGAAGGCAUCUUCUGUGGUGGAAAGAAUUUUGGUCAAGGAUGAGCUCGCGGCCUAUCAGCUAGUUGGUGAGGUAAUGGCUCACCAAGGCGACGACGGGUAGCCGGCCUGAGAGGGUGACCGGCCACACUGGGACUGAGACACGGCCCAGACUCCUACGGGAGGCAGCAGUGGGGAAUAUUGCACAAUGGGCGCAAGCCUGAUGCAGCAACGCCGCGUGAGGGACGAAGGCCUUCGGGUUGUAAACCUCUUUUAGUAGGGAAGAAGUGACUGGGUUUUCCUGGAAGUGACGGUACCUGCAGAAAAAGCACCGGCUAACUACGUGCCAGCAGCCGCGGUAAUACGUAGGGUGCAAGCGUUGUCCGGAAUUAUUGGGCGUAAAGAGCUCGUAGGCGGUUUGUUGCGUCUGCUGUGAAAACCCGAGGCUCAACCUCGGGCCUGCAGUGGGUACGGGCAGACUAGAGUGCGGUAGGGGAGAUUGGAAUUCCUGGUGUAGCGGUGGAAUGCGCAGAUAUCAGGAGGAACACCAAUGGCGAAGGCAGAUCUCUGGGCCGUAACUGACGCUGAGGAGCGAAAGCAUGGGGAGCGAACAGGAUUAGAUACCCUGGUAGUCCAUGCCGUAAACGUUGGGAACUAGAUGUGGGGACCAUUCCACGGUCUCCGUGUCGCAGCUAACGCAUUAAGUUCCCCGCCUGGGGAGUACGGCCGCAAGGCUAAAACUCAAAGGAAUUGACGGGGGCCCGCACAAGCGGCGGAGCAUGCGGAUUAAUUCGAUGCAACGCGAAGAACCUUACCAAGGCUUGACAUAUACCGGUAACGGCUGGAAACAGUCGCCCCGCAAGGUCGGUAUACAGGUGGUGCAUGGUUGUCGUCAGCUCGUGUCGUGAGAUGUUGGGUUAAGUCCCGCAACGAGCGCAACCCUCGUCCUAUGUUGCCAGCACGUAAUGGUGGGAACUCAUGGGAUACUGCCGGGGUCAACUC
Molecule: ribosomal RNA, 1092 nt
Filed under: Cryobacterium sp. L11
Lineage: Bacteria; Bacillati; Actinomycetota; Actinomycetes; Micrococcales; Microbacteriaceae
Description: bacterial SSU rRNA
Rfam family: Bacterial small subunit ribosomal RNA
Source: RNAcentral